GCGGGAGCCGGGAAAAGGGGAGGAGGGUGGAGGCGCCGGAGCGAGGGGAGGGGGAGGAGCGGCGGAGGCGGAAGCCAUGUUGGAGCUUCCCCCGGAGCGAGGGGCUGCGAGCGUUCUCCUCUCCCCGUGGGUGUGACCGCGGUUCGACGCGGCGGCGCGGCUGCGGGGGGCGGGGACGGUUAGCCCGGUCGUCGCCGUCGUUGGCGGCGGCGGCGGCGGGCGGGGAGCGGCGGCCGCGGCGUGGGGAGCCGGGCGAUUGUGACCUCCGGGGGAGCAGGGGUCCGGCCGCGGCUUCCCACCCUCCGUGCGGCCCCCUGAGCGCCCCCCCUCCCCGGCCCGGGAGGGAGGCGGGGGGCACCCGGGCCCGCCAUGAACCCCGGCUUCGACCUGUCCCGCCGGAACCCGCAGGAGGACUUCGAGCUGAUCCAGCGCAUCGGCAGCGGCACCUACGGCGACGUGUACAAGGCACGGAAUGUUAACACCGGUGAAUUGGCAGCAAUUAAAGUAAUAAAGUUGGAACCAGGUGAAGACUUUGCAGUUGUGCAGCAAGAAAUUAUUAUGAUGAAAGACUGUAAACACCCAAAUAUUGUUGCUUAUUUUGGAAGCUAUCUCAGGCGAGAUAAACUUUGGAUAUGCAUGGAGUUUUGUGGAGGGGGCUCUUUACAGGAUAUUUAUCAUGUAACGGGACCUCUGUCAGAAUUGCAAAUUGCAUAUGUUAGCCGAGAAACACUACAGGGACUAUACUAUCUUCACAGUAAAGGAAAAAUGCACAGAGAUAUAAAGGGAGCUAACAUUCUGUUAACGGAUAACGGUCAUGUGAAAUUAGCUGAUUUUGGAGUAUCUGCACAAAUAACAGCUACCAUUGCCAAACGGAAGUCUUUCAUUGGUACACCAUAUUGGAUGGCUCCAGAAGUCGCAGCCGUCGAGAGGAAAGGGGGGUACAAUCAGCUCUGUGACCUCUGGGCAGUGGGGAUCACCGCCAUUGAACUUGCUGAGCUCCAGCCUCCCAUGUUUGACUUACACCCGAUGAGAGCAUUAUUUCUAAUGACAAAAAGCAACUUUCAGCCUCCUAAACUAAAGGAUAAAUUGAAGUGGUCAAAUAGUUUUCAUCAUUUUGUGAAAAUGGCACUUACCAAAAACCCCAAAAAAAGACCAACAGCUGAAAAGUUAUUACAGCACCCGUUUGUCACACAACCUUUGACACGGUCUUUGGCAAUCGAACUAUUGGAUAAAGUGAAUAAUCCUGAUCAUUCCACUUACCAUGAUUUUGAUGAUGAUGAUCCUGAGCCUCUUGUUGUCGUGCCACAUAGAAUUCCCUCAACAAGUAGAAACGUGAGAGAAGAAAAAACACGCUCGGAGAUCAACUUUGGCCAAGUAAAAUUUGAUCCACCCUUAAGGAAAGAGACAGAACCACAUCAUGAACUUCCCGACAGUGAUGGUUUUUUGGACAGUUCAGAAGAAAUAUACUACACUGCAAGAUCUAAUCUGGAUCUACAACUGGAAUAUGGACAAGGACACCAAGGUAGUUACUUUUUAGGUACAAACAAGAGUCUUCUGAAGUCUGUUGAAGAAGAAUUACAUCAGCGAGGGCAUGUGGCACAUUUAGAAGAUGAUGAAGGGGAUGAUGAUGAAUCUAAACAUUCAACCAUGAAAGCAAAAGUUCCACCUCCUUUGCCACCAAAGCCUAAGUCCAUAUUCAUACCCCAGGAAAGUCAUUCUACUGAGGAGGAUAAUCAAGGAACAAUCAAGAGAUGUCCCAUGUCAGAGAGCCCAGCUAGACCAUCCCAAGUCCCACCUCGACCACCACCUCCCAGAUUACCUCCACAAAAGCCUAUUGCUUUAGGAAAUGGAGUGGGCUCCUUCCAGUUAAAUGGUGAACGAGAUGGAUCGUUAUAUCAACAACAGAAUGAACAAAGAGGAACAAACCUUUCAAGGAAAGAAAAGAAAGAUGUACCAAAGCCUAUUAGUAACGGUCUACCCCCAACACCUAAAGUGCAUAUGGGUGCUUGUUUUUCAAAGGUUUUUAAUGGGUGUCCCUUGAAAAUUCACUGUGCAACAUCAUGGAUAAACCCCGAUACCAGAGAUCAGUACUUGAUAUUCGGUGCCGAAGAAGGGAUUUAUACCUUGAAUCUUAAUGAACUUCAUGAAACAUCAAUGGAACAGCUAUUUCCCCGAAGGUGUACCUGGUUGUAUGUAAUGAACAACUGCUUACUAUCAAUAUCUGGUAAAGCGUCUCAGCUUUAUUCCCAUAAUUUACCAGGGCUUUUCGAUUAUGCAAGACAAAUGCAGAAGUUGCCUGUUUCUAUUCCAGCACACAAACUCCCUGACAGAAUACUGCCAAGGAAAUUUGCUGUAUCAGCAAAAAUCCCUGAAACCAAGUGGUGUCAGAAGUGCUGUGUUGUGAGAAACCCGUACACAGGCCAUAAAUACCUAUGCGGGGCGCUUCAGACCAGCAUUAUUCUAUUGGAAUGGGUUGAACCAAUGCAGAAAUUCAUGUCAAUUAAGCACAUAGAUUUUCCUAUACCCUGUCCACUUAGGAUGUUUGAAAUGCUGGUAGUUCCUGAACAGGAGUACCCACUAGUUUGUGUUGGUGUCAGUAAAGGGAGAGACUUCAACCAGGUGGUUCGGUUUGAAACAGUCAAUCCAAAUUCUACCUCUUCGUGGUUUACAGAAUCAGAUACUCCACAGACAAGUGUUAGUCAUGUAACCCAACUGGAGAGAGAUACCAUUCUUGUGUGCAUGGACUGUUGUAUAAAAAUAGUAAAUCUCCAAGGAAGAUUAAAAUCUAGCAGAAAAUUAUCAUCAGAACUCACCUUUGAUUUCCAGAUUGAAUCAAUAGUAACUGAGCUGUUCUUGCCCGCUAGUUUGCCUACAAGACAGUGUGCUAGCUUUCUGGAAACAUGGAAUGCAAGGUAGAAGUUUUAGAUCUAAUGAGAUAGUCAGUCACCCUUAUAUUCAGAACAAGAACUUCCUAAUACUGCUAAAAGUAACACAAGAAAUUUCAGAUAGCACAAGGAUUUUCAGACUACUUGGAUCUGACAGGGUCGUGGUUUUGGAAAGUAGGCCAACUGAUAACCCCACAGCAAAUAGCAAUUUAUACAUCCUGGCGGGACACGAAAACAGUUACUGAGAAACGUGCUUUGACAGUUAACUAUGAA
This is an RNA transcript of Pipistrellus kuhlii (Kuhl's pipistrelle), 3158 nucleotides long. It is a transcript of the gene named mitogen-activated protein kinase kinase kinase kinase 3, with no coding region annotated. The record is from RefSeq and is a predicted model, not a curated record. The transcript is spliced from 35 exons. NCBI's taxonomy places the organism in Eukaryota, Metazoa, Chordata, Mammalia, Chiroptera, Vespertilionidae.